This is a non-coding RNA of Nicotiana tabacum (common tobacco), 2362 nucleotides long. Lineage: Eukaryota; Viridiplantae; Streptophyta; Magnoliopsida; Solanales; Solanaceae. The record is from RefSeq and is a predicted model, not a curated record.
GUUUCACACUCUAUCCUUCGACGCCACUUUCAUUCUCUCUCUCUUUCUUUUCUUCCAGCUCUAUGCUUUCACAGUUAUAUCAUCGUCAUCACUCGUCUACCAUAGCUACCAGAUUUGAGUAAAUACUUCACUCCACCAAGAAAAACCACUAACGGUUCAAUAAAAUCUCGGUCAAAAAAGCCUCACCGGAAAACUUAAACAAAGUUCUUUACGAUUUUUUGAUUCGAGCCGUUCGAAGGUCGAUUCGUGUGCUAAUGGAUUUCUAGAGUAUUGAUUGGUUUGCUUGAGGUAAGUAUCUUACCUAAAAUUGGUUGAGGCACUAGUUGUCUGAGUUAUUAGUGUUGGCUACGCGCUAUGGGUAGUGCAUAUGUGAGGGUUGAGCUCAUGCACGUGCACCGGGUAUUAUCCAUGCUCGAGGUAGUGGCUAUGAUAUGCCUUGAAUUGAUUACUAUGUUUUAUGCUAUAAUGUUUCUUAUGUUUGUACCUCCUUUUGUGAGCUAAUUGAAUCGUGUUAGAGGUUAUUUGUUGGUUAAUCUCAUGUUUAAACAUGAUUAAUUGAUAUUUUGUGGUGUAAUCGCCUAAUUUGAACUGUGGUAGUACACUUCGCACAUGUCUACAUCUUAGCAUGUCACUUAUAUCAGUCCAGAAAUAUGUAAUUGAUAUCCAUUAUUCAUGUACAUGUAUCCUUAAUAUGUUAUCUGUAUGAUAUGGACUGGUUGAUAGCACGUGGGUGGUCCAUAUGCUGAGAUAUCAUAGCACGUAAGGGAUCCGUGCGGUGGUUAUAUAUGGCAUGUGAUUUGUUCGUGCAGCGUGUGGAUAAGAAUCCACCCCUCCUAGAUUCACCCUUUUCUCUUGAUGGUGUACACGUGGUAUGAGAAAACUGAUCACUGUGUAGUUAUUACAUUUCUUCUCUACUUGCAAUUUCCUUGGAUGUAUACAUGUUUUAUUCGCAUAUCUUCUCUACAUGCUAGAUCUGGAAUGUAUACAUUCCUCGUUGUGCAUAUCUUCUCUAUGUGCUGUUUGGUUUGAUUAGUGAGAGCACAGUACAUAUCUUCUAUAUAUGUCUACCUGUGCAUCGAGACUUAAUAAUAGAUGCAUAUCUUAUUUAUAUGUUGGAUUGAUAAUUGAUACAUGGCUUGGCAGCAUCGAGGUGACUUUAUCUAUGUUUUAUGAUUAGAUGGUAUUAUUGUUGUGUACUUGUGGAAUUUAUGAACUGAGCAGGUUAUUAGCAAGUUUCGUUGAUAUUUCUUGUUGCUAUUACCUUACCGAGGUUAGUUAUGAUACUUCCUAAGUACCUAGGGUCAGUUGUACUCAUACUAUAAUCUGCACUAAUUGUGCAGAUCCAGGUGUUGGACCCAAUUGAGAGUUGUCCGUACUUUGUUGUGACUUGCUAAGAGACGAGAUGGUAAGGACACGUUCAGCUAGAUAAGCCGAGCAGGCACCGGUGCCUCCAGUCAGGGCCGCGGGAGAACAAGGUUGAGGUAGAGGCUGAGUUGGGGCUUGUGCUAUAGCUAGAGCAGCAUUUGUGGAGCCACCAGUUGCUCUAGUGGAUGAGCAAGUUCCGAAUAUUGUUGAGCCGAUGGGACCAACUCAGACUCCGACAGUACCUAUUGCUAUACCUGGUCUUCAGGAGACUUUGGCCCAGAUCUUGAGUGUGUAUAAGAGUUUAGCUCGAGCAUGCAUGAUACUAGUUGCACCAGCUACCUCACAGGCUAGGGGAUAAUCUAGACUCCCGCCGCCCGUAAGCCAGAGCAACUAGCUUAGAGUUAUCAGACACCGGGGGUUUGCCAGUAUAGCCAACUGAUGCGUCACAUGUCGAGAUUGGACCAUCUUUGACUGAUGAGGAGCAGAAGAGGUUAUAGCUAUUCCAUAGGCUUUGUCCUCCCUAGUUGAGUGGAAGAGAGUUAGAGGAUGCUCGGGGAUUUCUUAAUUAGUGUCAUCAAAUUCUUUGCACAAUGGGUCUUGUGGACUCCAAUAGAGUUGACUUUACUACUUUUCAGCUGACGGGCCAACCUAAAGGUGGUGGCAGUCCUAUGAGACAGUCAGGCCAGUUGGCGUAGCACCACUCACAUGGCAUCAAUUUUCAGUUCUCUUCUUAAAGAAGUUUGUCCCACAAACUCGCAGAGAGGAGUUCCAUAGGGAGCUUGAGCAUCUACACCGAGAAGGAUUGACUAUGACCCAAUACGAGAUGAGUGUCACAACCCAAAACCAUGCGACCGGCACCCGACACACUACCCGACCCCAGUGAACCAAACCAUAUGAUGCACCCAAACCAUAUGCAUGAAAACCAAUUUAGCUGUGGAAGCUCUUUGAAAAUCAUACUCCCUCCGUUCCAGUUUAUGUGAACCUAUUUCCUUUUCGA